GACGGAAGGUGCAAGCGUUGCUCGGAAUCACUGGGCGUAAAGGGUGCGUAGGCGGCCGUGCAAGUCUGGCGUGAAAGCCCCGGGCUCAGCCCGGGAAGUGCGCUCGAAACUGCGCGGCUCGAGUGCCGGAGGGGAGAGUGGAAUUCCUGGUGUAGCGGUGAAAUGCGUAGAUAUCAGGAGGAAUACCGGUGGCGAAGGCGGCAUCCUGGACCAUUACUGACGCUGAGGCGCGAAAGCUAGGGGAGCAAACGGG
This 253-nucleotide ribosomal RNA is filed under the name uncultured bacterium. Its description in RNAcentral is "partial 16S ribosomal RNA". It matches the Rfam family "Bacterial small subunit ribosomal RNA", at positions 524 to 776 of the family's 1533-position model. The record is from RNAcentral.